CACGUAGGGGGCAAGCGUUGUCCGGAUUUAUUGGGCGUAAAGGGCUCGUAGGCGGUUCGACAAGUCGGGUGUGAAACCUCCAGGCUCAACCUGGAGUCGCCACUCGAAACUGUUGUGACUUGAGUCCGGUAGGGGAGCAUGGAAUUCCUGGUGUAGCGGUGGAAUGCGCAGAUAUCAGGAGGAACACCAGUGGCGAAGGCGGGUUGCUGGGCCGACACUGACGCUGAGGCGCGAAAGCCAGGGGAGCGAACGGG
RNAcentral lists this ribosomal RNA (254 nucleotides) under uncultured bacterium. RNAcentral describes it as "partial 16S ribosomal RNA". It matches the Rfam family "Bacterial small subunit ribosomal RNA", at positions 524 to 776 of the family's 1533-position model. The record is from RNAcentral.